RNAcentral lists this long non-coding RNA (2294 nucleotides) under Podarcis lilfordi (Lilford's wall lizard). Lineage: Eukaryota; Metazoa; Chordata; Lepidosauria; Squamata; Lacertidae. The record is from RNAcentral.
GGACUGCGCGGAAGGGGCUCCCCGGCCGGGGCGAGGCAGGCUCAGCCCAGCAGCGCCAGCCCAGAGCCGAGGCGGCCUCGGAGCGCCUUGCCUCUUGCCCCUCGGGGGACCCUCGGCGGAGAAGCGCGACGAGCCGGCAGCUGCCCUGCUGAGCCAGGCUCCGCCAGACCCCCCCCCCCCCCCGCCAAGACUCCCCGCCCUCUUUUUUGGUCUGGAAGAUCUGGCAACUCGAUCCUAUGGAAAAUCCAGUGGAGAAAAAUUGCUUUCCUCCUCGAAGAACCAGAAACGCAUUCCAACUCUACACUUCUGUGAUUAUAUAAAUGGAACAUCUGCCCAGUUGUGGGGCAACUCUGUGGUUUGGGCAGCGAGUCUCAUACUUUUCUCCUGCAAAACUGGAGUUCUUCGUGCCGGCCUCCUACCUGCCGCACUGUGGUAGUUUGCGCAAGGAGUAGCACUGAUACUUUCCUGGCUGCCUGGUUAUAUGCCAUGUGAGAACUGGGUUAGGGCCCAUUAGGCCACCAGAGUAUAUUGAUGGGUGUUUUCUGCACAUGGCUACUAUGAUGCACCCGUAAACAACAUCAUAUUAGUGGGUGGUGUUGGGAGUUGCCAGAAAUGUGGUGGCGCGGUCUGCUGGUACUGCAAUGGUGGCCUUUGUUCUGCAGUGAAUGUUUUCCUUACGACUAAGAGAGCACUGGGAAUCAGGAUUGGUGUGACUCUUGGCAUAGCAGCAGACUACUCAUAGCAGGAUCUGAGGAGCAUCCUGUCAAUCAGUGUUCCUGGAAAAAUCUUUCGGCCUGGCAAACUGCUUGAGGCAGACCUCACUAAGAGUCUCUGUAUUUGUGGAAAGUUCAAACGUAAUUUGAUUAUGAAACAUGGACUUGAAACAAGUGAAAAUGGUUUGCUUGACAUGCACACUCUUAAAUCUGAGCAGUGUGUCACAGCAUGCGUGUGGUACUUCUAGUCACCAGACCACAGGAACAUGCAACUUCCAAAUGUCCAAAUGAGAGAGGGGAAGAAUUCAGCAUUGAAAAUGCAGGAUAUGUUACAAGAAGUUCAAAGAGACCAAAGCUUCAUAGCAUAAAAGGCAUGUGCCAGAGGUAGCUGGAGGGAGUCACUGUUCCCAGUGGCUUAUAAUAUGCUAAUGCUAGAAGCCUCUAAGCCAGAGAUGAAGAACCUGUGGCAAUACACAUGUUCACUGACCUAAGCUCUGUAAAGGCAAGGCAACAACAAAAAAUGUUUAAGGUUUUAUUGAAUUCUAGAACUGAAGGGGCCAAGCAAACAUUAACUGGAAGAGUUAAGACCCUGUCCCAUAUGCUCACCAGCAUAACCAAUAUCACCUAAGAAUCAGAUCUUUUUCAAAACAAAUAUGUCUUUAUUUAUAAAAUCAUGAUUUACACAGAAAUAAUAAUUUACAUGAAUAAAUCUGAUAUUACUAAAAUCAGCAUUGUAAUAUAUAAAAAAUGCCCAAAUUAUGUUUUGUAAAUUUGAAUCAUAGAACAUAUCAUUCCUCUUAUAAAUCAGAUAGGUCGAUUUGUCCAUUUCUGCUCAUUCAAGACACUUCCUUAUCCAUUCCCAUAUGGUUGGAGAAUCUUUCCACUGCUGCAGUCAAGAAAAUCUUUCCUGAUUCUGCAGAUACCUUCUCAUUGAUCCAAUUAAAUAAAAUCAACAUAGGAUAGAGUCUCACAUUAUGCGAUGCAAGACUCAUCUCCAAAAUUCAGAGGUACACUGGCAAUCACACCACAUAUGUGUUAGAUGCAUGUUUACUGCAAAACACUUCUAGCAUUCAAACCCAGAAUCUUUAUACAUUCCGUUCAGCCUGAUGGGACUUAAAUACCAACAGCAAAGGUUUAAAUUGAGCUUAACAUAUUGACAAACUCGGUGAUAUCUCACAAAACACUAUAUCCAGGGUUAUCUUGAGUCUUAGAUGGUGAAAUCCAGUUGUCGCUCCCCACCUUAACCUGGCUACUGACUCCACCAACAGGCCACAGGGGGUUGGGGUUCUUUUGCUAGCAGACCCUUCAACUUAUUAUUUUUAUUAGCACUUCCCAUGCUGUCAUCUUCAUUAUCAUCCAUGUAGGACUUAUAGCUGCCAAAAGCAAUACUCCUUUGCUGGAAAUAUUGAAACCAUGGUGGUAACCAUCUUUCUACAAUUUGAGCUAUCUCAUUCCAGUUACCAUUCUUCUGUUAUCUUUUAAAUCCUUAAAUUUAUGUUCCCACUUUUCUUAAAUUAGCAAAUCUGAUGGUUAAUUUCCUAUUUGAAAUCUAUUAUUUAAAUAAUAAUUUAUUUAAAUUUC